Molecule: long non-coding RNA, 363 nt
Filed under: Brachypodium distachyon (stiff brome)
Lineage: Eukaryota; Viridiplantae; Streptophyta; Magnoliopsida; Poales; Poaceae
Description: long non-coding RNA (BDIS_LNC004370)
Source: RNAcentral
ACAGGCCAUUUUGUGUAGGAUUCUCUUAAAAAGUUGUCGAAAUUUAAGAUUAUCGAUUUUCCUGACAACUAGUACACAUAAAAGGACUUAAUCCCAACUGCGCUAAUUGAUGUUUUGACAUUCACUUUAUAAUCUUUGUUUUUUUUUCAAUGAGGUGCAAGUUGUUGGCACAUGUUUCCAUAUAUGGAAAGGUGUUGAAUCUUUCAAAACCCUAUCUAGUUCUUCCAUAUAUUCUUAUUUCGGUACCUUAAAAUGAUUUUAGGCAAUUCUUAGGAACAAUUUGUGCAUCACAUGCAUAGUUGUAGUUCAAAUUUGUCUCGUGACGAUACCUGUCUCUAAGAACUCUCCACACUUCUAGCUAGU